RNAcentral lists this unclassified non-coding RNA (4684 nucleotides) under Helicoverpa zea (corn earworm). RNAcentral's name for it is "protein polybromo-1, transcript variant X1". The record is from RNAcentral. Lineage: Eukaryota; Metazoa; Arthropoda; Insecta; Lepidoptera; Noctuidae.
UCUGUGGACUGGUUCAGAAUUCAUCGUCGCGCUUGCUUGCUUGGGGGCUUCAUUUUGUGAAUCAAUCAAUCAAAAUACAGCAAAUUAUUUGUUUUAAUCGUCUCUGUUCAUAGUUUUCUGUAUUGUAAAGAAUAUAUGGCCACUAAAUCGGUUUGACCAGAAUGUAAUAGCUACAUGUUACACAUUAAAAUCGAAACAGCAAGGUUCGCAUAGCGAGCCAUUCAUCAAAAAUGAGUAAAAGACGCCGUGCUUCGUCCGGGGCUUCGCGUGGUGCCGAUUUGGAUGAUAGUGACGAUGGCAUCGAGUUGAGCAACCCUGGGCCUCCUCCAUCUACACGGAAAAGGAAGAAGUUGGACCCUGGUGAGAUCUGCCAGCAGCUGUAUGACACAAUCAGGUCAUACAAGAAGGAGGAUGGCACAUUGCUGUGUGACUCCUUCAUCAGGGCUCCGAAGAGACGCCAGGAGCCACAGUACUAUGAAGUUGUUUCACAACCCAUUGAUUUGUUGAGAGUGCAACAAAAGUUAAAAACUGAUACAUACGAGGACAUUGAAGAGUUAUCAGCAGAUAUAGAGCUGCUGGUGAAUAAUGCUAAGGCGUUCUACAAGUCGGAUACCGUGGAAUACCGGGAUGCUAUUGACUUGUGGAAACUCUACUUGCAGACUAAACAGGCGCUUGAAAAUGGUGAAGAUAUCAAGAUGCCGAAACUGUCUCGCAAUGGCUCAUCGAGUAGACGUUCUGAUGUUGCAGAGGACUUGUCAGAAACAUCUACUAAUAACGAAGAGGAUAAUGUUUUUGAAGAAUUGUUCAAUGCUGUAAUGACAGCCAACACUGAUGGCCGACCUCUUUUCCCGGCCUUCCAAUUCUUACCAUCCAAGCGCCGUUACCCAGAGUACUAUAAUGUUAUAGACUCUCCCAUAGACUUGAAGACCAUAGCCCAGAAGAUACAGGGUGGGGAGUACACCAAUGUUUCGGAAUUGGAACGGGAUCUUUUGUUAAUGGUUCGGAACGCCUGCCAUUUUAAUGAGCCAGGCAGCCAGAUUUAUAAGGAUGCUAAGGCCUUGAAGAAGUUUAUACUGCAGGUCAUACAAAUGCGCAAACAAGAGAUCGACCAACACGGCCGAAGUGGACCGGCGAAGACUUCUGAACGUAUCCGAAGUAAGCGGACGUCGAGGGUUGGACCUGUGCCCAAUAGUAAGGCUUUGGCUAUCAUGGAACCACCGGGGUCGGAUACUGAGCCGGAUGUGAAGCAUUCUGAAGACAGCGGUGAUAGUGACGAAGAGAAGAAUGAAAACGAGGAUUCACCACAAUGGAAACUUCUAGAAACCAUCAAGAAUCAUUUAGGACCAAAUGGUCCUAUGUCAGAACCUUUUUGGAAGCUGCCUUCUCGCCGGGCUUAUCCUGAUUACUACAAGGAGAUCAAAAACCCAGUGUCUUUGAACCAGAUUAAAAAUAAAAUAAGAAGGGGCAGCUAUGGUACAUUGUCAGAAGUAGCGGGAGACAUGAACAUUAUGUUCGAAAACGCUAAACAAUACAAUGUACCAUCUUCUAGAUUGUACAAGGAUGCUGUGAAAUUACAGAGAAUAAUGCAACAGCGUGUCCAAGAAUUACUGGACAUCGUACAGAGUUCGUCGAGUGAUGAUGAGAGUCUCUCCUCCGUGAAGAACCAAGCUCAAGUGCAGACAGCCAGGCCGAGGGGUCGGCCCCGUCUAAACCCCCCUGUAUCUACGACUCCAACCCCAUCGAGCACCCCCAUAAAAUCCAACUUACCUCUGAAGAAGAAGCUGCACUACAUAUCUAAACAACUGGUGGAGUUCACCUGUUCUGACGGCAGACAGCCCAUGUUGCUGUUCAUGGAGAAACCCAGCAAGAAACUCUACCCGGAGUACUAUAAUGUGAUCGAUAAGCCUAUCGAUAUGAUCACUAUUGAGGCUAAUAUUAAGAAUGAUCGCUACAACUCCAUAGACGAGAUGGUAUCAGACUUCCGUCUAAUGUUCUCAAACUGCCGCCAAUUCAACGAAGAAGGUUCGAUGAUCUACGAAGACGCCAACCUUCUUGAACGCGUCAUGAACGAGAAACUCAAGGAGGUUAAUAACAGUAGCAGUUUUGAGAGGAAGACUCCUUUGAAGACGUUCAAAGCGGCCCCUAAGGCGAGGCAGUUGUCGCCUUUUGAACAGAAACUGAGGACUUUGUAUGAUGCGAUUAGAGAUUAUAGGGAUCCUAAAGCCAACCGCCAACUAGCCCUAAUCUUCAUGAAGCUACCCAGCAAAACCGAAUACCCAGACUACUACGAACUUAUCAAAAACCCUAUAGACAUGGAGAAAAUCGCCCAUAAACUUAAGAACAAUGUGUAUAGCUCGGUCAAUGAACUCGCUUCGGACUUUAUACUGAUGUUCGAUAAUGCCUGCAAGUAUAAUGAACCGGAUUCGCAGAUAUAUAAAGAUGCGUUGAUUCUACAUAGAGUCUGUUUACAGACUAAGCAGAUGCUGAGGGAGGAUGAUGAUGCAGUGCCCGAUGUACCUGCGGCUGUUCAGGAACUGCUCCUCAAUCUCUUCACCAGCGUCUACAACCAUCAGGAUGAAGAGGGCAGAUGCUACUCAGACAGCAUGGCAGAGUUACCGGAGCACGACGAGGCGGCCAAUGGAGAGAAAGUGCGAGCCAUCUCACUGGACUUGGUCAAGCGACGCCUGGAUAAGGGCUUGUAUAAACGCCUCGAUCACUUCCAGCAGGAUAUGUUCGCUGUUUUUGAAAGAGCCCGUCGCCUCUCCCGUACCGACAGUCAGAUCUUCGAAGACUCCGUAGAGCUCCAGUCCUACUACAUCGACCAAAGAGACCAGCUCUGCCGCGGCACCCUGCAGUCUCCCGCGCUGAACUUCACGAGAGACACCAUGGCCACCAGUGUGGAACUGGUCAAGCAGUGCAAGCUGCUGCAGGAGAACGAGGAAGAGGAUGAGACCAGAUCCAGCACAGACGACUCGCUCCCAUCGGGCGGGGCUCCACUACAGACGGCGUACAACAAAGGCGACUUUGUGUACGUGCAGCCCGACAAGGGACAUAAGGAACCGCAUAUAGUACAAGUCGAGAGGGUCUGGACCAAUAAUGAGGGAGUUCCCUGCAUGUAUUGCACGGCUUAUUAUAGGCCACAAGAAACCUACCACGUCCGUACCCGCAAGUUCCUACAACAAGAGGUGUUCAAGACCGAGUCCCGUCGCGUCGUACCACUCGACCAAGUUGUCGGACAUUGCUACGUUAUGAACGUUAAGGAGUACUUCAAGUUUAGACCAGAAGGUUUCGCCGACAAAGAUGUGUAUGUAUGCGAAAGCCGCUACAACACUAAAAUGCGCUGGUUCAAGAAGAUCAAGGUGUGGGACGGCGUGGAGAAGGAAGCCACUCUUAUACCUAGAGAGGUACCAUUGGAGCCUAACAGAACAGUGUCGGUAUUCCGUGAACGCGUUGAAAAGCAUAAGGACGAGUUAGCUGAACUCGAAGUGUUGGAAAAUGUACACGAGAAGGAAAGACCGGACGUGGUGAUGUACAAUCCCCUGGGCACAGACGACGAGAACACGUACUACGAACAAUACAACACAGUCUGCUCAGGCGUCAUAAAGACUGGCGACUACGUGUACGUGGUGACCGACGGCGGGAAGCAGAUGAUCGCUCAAGUCGACACCAUCUGGGAGACUGGCGACAACAAAUGCUACUUCCGCGGUCCGUUCCUGAUCUUCCCGUCGGAGGUGGCGAACAUAAUAAACAAGAGUAUGUUUGACUUCCAGCCCUUCUACAAGCAAGAGGUGCUUCUAACGACGAUGCACGAUACCAGUCCGUUGGUCGGCAUUGUCGGCAAAUGUGCAGUCUUGGAUUAUGAUGAUUAUCUUAAGUGUCGUCCGACAGAAAUAGCAGAGAACGACAUUUACGUGUGUGAGUCGGUUUACGACGAAUCUAACCGCGUCGCUCGGAAACUGAAAGCGGGACUGCGCAAGUUCGAGCAUACCAAGGAUGUUACUAUUGACGAGAUCUACUUCUUCCCGAAGCCUCUGGGUCCCCCAGCACUGGCGACGGCUCAGGAAGUGCAGUCCACGUCCAGCGCCUUCACGCAGAAGCAGUUCAACCCUCACAGCAACUCCAUGGACUCCAUGGACAGCAAGCCCCAGUUCACGAACCUGAUAAACACCACUAUAGGCAGUCAGGACGUCGAGAUGAUACUAGAAAAUUCUCUCGACGACUCGUCGCUCGCAUCACCUGCAACACCGCUCUCUAUAGGAGGCAACAGCAAUCCCUACAACCCGACAAUGACGGCCACCCCCACACAAGAGCGAACAAGCGCCACCCCCGCCAGCAGCAAGAAGAAGAAGGACGCCAACAAACAGAAGAUUGUCACCGGCUACAUUCUAUACUCCAGUGAGGUUAGAAGAGCUAUCGUGGCGAACAACCCCGAGUCUUCUUUCGACGCCGAUGGAGAACACGUACGAAUGUGCGUGGGAUACCUGCGACUACCAGUUCGAAGACCUGGCGGAUUGUAUGGAGCACUGCAUUGGUGAUGGCGGCAACAUGAUCGGUACAUAUAUCGAGACCAAGAAACCCAAGCUAGAACCGGGUCACGUUCAACAGCACUACCGGGGCACUCUCAACGAGUAUCCCUGCGUGUGGAGGAACUGCGCGAGAGUGCGGAAAGGACAGGCUCCCUUCC